This 512-nucleotide ribosomal RNA is filed under the name uncultured prokaryote. RNAcentral describes it as "bacterial SSU rRNA". It matches the Rfam family "Bacterial small subunit ribosomal RNA", at positions 788 to 1297 of the family's 1533-position model. The record is from RNAcentral.
GGGUAGUCCACGCAGUAAACGUUGUACACUAGGUGUAGCGGGUAUUGACCCCUGCUGUGCCGGAGCUAACGCAUUAAGUGUACCGCCUGGGGAGUACGGCCGCAAGGCUAAAACUCAAAGAAAUUGACGGGGGCCCGCACAAGCGGUGGAGCAUGUGGUUUAAUUCGACGCAACGCGAAGAACCUUACCCAGACUUGACAUCCUGUGAACCUCUUAGAGACAAGAGGGUGCCUUCGGGAGCACAGAGACAGGUGCUGCAUGGCUGUCGUCAGCUCGUGUCGUGAGAUGUUCGGUUAAGUCCGGCAACGAGCGCAACCCUUGUCUUCAGUUGCCAGCGCGUAAAGGCGGGAACUCUGAAGAGACUGCCCGGUUAACGGGGAGGAAGGUGGGGAUGACGUCAAGUCCUCAUGGCCCUUAUGUCUGGGGCUACACACGUGCUACAAUGGGUAUGUACAAAGGGGCAGCAAGCAUGCGAGUGCAAGCUAAUCCCUUAAAGCAUAUCCCAGUCCGGA